UCCGAAUUGGUGUAGUGGCUAACAUUUGACGCUCUCACUGGCUCUUCUCCGAAGACUCCCAUUGUCCCGUCAAGCCCGGGGUUCGAUUCCCCGAUUCGGAG
RNAcentral lists this transfer RNA (101 nucleotides) under Microdochium bolleyi. RNAcentral's name for it is "tRNA-Glu". Lineage: Eukaryota; Fungi; Ascomycota; Sordariomycetes; Xylariales; Microdochiaceae. The record is from RNAcentral.